This is a long non-coding RNA of Astatotilapia calliptera (eastern happy), 1032 nucleotides long. Lineage: Eukaryota; Metazoa; Chordata; Actinopteri; Cichliformes; Cichlidae. The record is from Ensembl.
AAAAAAACUGGUAGACCUCUCUUUCUUAAGGACUCUAAGUGGACACAUGGCUGUUGGUGGACAAACACUGCCGAUUACACAACUUGUGACCUCUCAUUUACAGGACAGUGUCUCUCCUUCAUUCCAGCAGGCCACCCUAUGAAGCAGCUCAGUACACAAACACCCAGAGACACACACAUAUACACACAAACCUGGUUGGCCAUUGGCCUGCAGGGCUGUGCAGGGCAGGAAGGGAAUCAUUCACUGUAAACUGAACAAGGACUGGCUUCCUCUGGGAGUCCCCUAGCCUGACAGCAGCCAAGAUCCCUGCAACACAAACCACUCUAGCAGACACACACACACACACAGCAAUCAGCACGUACACACGCUGGAACUAGGACACAUUCUCUCAUCUGUUACUCGUCUCUCUUUCCUCAAUUCCGUCUUUUUUUUUACUCUCCCUUCCUGCCCUUCUCUCAAUUUCCAGCCUACUUUCAUCUCCUGCUCCAUCCUACUACGUUCCCGCAUCAAUUUUCUUCAAACAGCUCUUCUUCCUUAUUUUGUUUUUGUUUUAUCUUCUGUUUUUAAUUUUUAUGGUUCUUUUUUCUCUUCUCUUUCUUUCUCUGUGUUGCUUCCUCCCUCCUAUCAGGGAAGUUUACAAAGUUUGUAUAGCAAAGAGAGGAUACCUCUGGAAAGUUUGCAUUGCAUUUUCUUAUUAGACAGAUGCAGAUUUGGUUAAGCAACAAUCUUAAUAAUCAAGCCCUGUAAACGGGGGAGAAACAAAUACAGUCUAUUGCUUUUUAAAGCAGGCCAAAGAAAUAAUAAUUCAUGAUAUUAAAAAAGGAUUGCUCUACAUGUUACCUUUCUGUCAUGUCACCUUUCUCCUCCACACAAGCAAACAUUUACACACCAACAGGAACGGAAGCAGGGGAUGCAUAUCCGUCAGCUGAUCCAACUGGAAAUGCUGACACUUGUCUCCCCAUCUGCUACUGCACUCUGAGACAAUGGGGGAGGAAGGCAGACUAGGGGGACAGAGAAAGCGAGAAGGAGCAU